AGAGAAUAUAAAAAACAAGAUGGGCAGAAAAACAAGAUGCCUAGAUAUUCACAGUUGAAACCAUUGCGUUGUAACGACCAUUGUUAUGACAAAUCAUGGUAUCACUAUUUGCUUCUAGGACAUUGUAUCACUUACCAAUUUGGAAACUACACUCAAGUCUACGGCACUUGUGUCACUUCUACAACUACCGAAUAGUUUCACUUAUGGUAUUUCUACAACUACAGUCAUGGCUACCUCACAACAUUCACUUUUACAACUACUUUUACAGCUAUGUAUCUCACCAGUGAAACUUCUAUAAGUACAAUCAAAUACAUAUGUCUGGGUAGUCCAUCAUAAAGGUUUAUUUUCUUCUAGGACAUUGUAUUUAAUACAUACAUGUACUGAUAGACGGCUACACCUAUAAGUAAGGGAUGUUGUAAGGGGCAGUUUCAGCCCUUUUUCUACGGUAGUAAAGUGUAGUCUAUGUAACACAAACCUUGCUAUUCAUGGCUAUAACUGGCGCAUGGCCCAUGAGGCUAGAUGUUAAGCGGGCUGCUAUAAGCGAGAUUUAAUCAGUCAGUUGUCGUUGAAAGUAUUGUAAUCUAACAUAGGCGGCACGUUUAACUGAAAUGACAGUGCUGGUGCUGGGUGUCUGCCAGUUCAAGGCCGACUAUGUAUAAACCUAAAGUAUUGUUUACAUUGGCUUGCUGUGUGUUACUAAACCGAUGGUGCUGGGUGGUUGCCAAGUCAAGGCCCACUAUCUAUAAACUGAUAGUAUUGUUUGCACUGGCUGGCUGUGUGUUACUAAAUCGAUAUAUAAAUCGACAUAGGCGCCCCAGUUCAAGGCCGACUAUGUAUAAACUGAUAGUAUUGUUUGCAUUGGCUCGCUGUGUGUUACUAAACCGAUAGUGCUGGGUGUUUGCCAGUUCAAGGCCGACUAUGUAUA
Branchiostoma floridae (Florida lancelet) is the source of this 925-nucleotide long non-coding RNA. RefSeq lists it as uncharacterized. The transcript has 2 exons. The record is from RefSeq and is a predicted model, not a curated record. NCBI's taxonomy places the organism in Eukaryota, Metazoa, Chordata, Leptocardii, Amphioxiformes, Branchiostomatidae.